RNAcentral lists this ribosomal RNA (666 nucleotides) under uncultured bacterium. RNAcentral describes it as "bacterial SSU rRNA". It matches the Rfam family "Bacterial small subunit ribosomal RNA", at positions 31 to 693 of the family's 1533-position model. The record is from RNAcentral.
UGACGCUGGCGGAUGCUUUCACAUGCAAGUCGAACGGCAGCACGGACUUCGGUCUGGUGGCGAGUGGCGAACGGGUGAGUAAUAUAUCGGAACGUAUCCAAUAAUGGGGGAUAACUAGUCGAAAGAUUAGCUAAUACCGCAUACGCCCUGAGGGGGAAAGCUGGGGAUCUUCGGACCUAGCGUUAAUGGAGCGGCCGAUAUCUGAUUAGCUAGUAGGUGAGGUAAGAGCUCACCUAGGCGACGAUCAGUAGCUGGUCUGAGAGGACGACCAGCCACACUGGAACUGAGACACGGUCCAGACUCCUACGGGAGGCAGCAGUGGGGAAUUUUGGACAAUGGGCGCAAGCCUGAUCCAGCCAUUCCGCGUGAGUGAAGAAGGCCUUCGGGUUGUAAAGCUCUUUCGCAAGGGAAGAAAACUUAGUCUCUAACAUAGACUGAGGCUGACGGUACCUUGAUAAGAAGCACCGGCUAACUACGUGCCAGCAGCCGCGGUAAUACGUAGGGUGCGAGCGUUAAUCGGAAUUACUGGGCGUAAAGCGUGCGCAGCGGCCUGAUAAGUCAGAUGUGAAAUCCCCGAGCUCAACUUGGGGAACUGCGUUUGAAACUAUCAAGCUAGAAUAUGUCAGAAGGGGGGUAGAAUUCCACGUGUAGCAGUGAAAUGCGUAA